Molecule: RNA transcript, 734 nt
Organism: Lathyrus oleraceus (garden pea)
Lineage: Eukaryota; Viridiplantae; Streptophyta; Magnoliopsida; Fabales; Fabaceae
Gene name: endonuclease 4
Exons: 4
Source: RefSeq, a predicted model, not a curated record
AUAACCUUACACAAGCACUUCUUUUCCUUGCUCAUUAUAUGGGAGAUGUCCAUCAGCCUCUACACACUGGUUUUACCACAGACAAAGGAGGAAAUACAAUAGAUGUUCAUUGGUACACAAGGAAACAAAAUUUUCACCAUGUCAGUCAUGAUCACAAUUCUCAUCAUCAUAAACUACUAUUUCACUAUCUACUUUACUGACUAACUUUGUACCGUUUAGGUUUGGGAUGCUAACAUUAUUUAAAGAGCAGAAGAAAGAUUCUAUGAUAAUAACAUUGAUGAAUACUUCAAGAACAUUCAAAAAAAUAUCACGAAAACAUGGUCAGAUGAAGUGGCAGAUUGGGAAGCAUGCAGUUCUGAUGAGACGACAUGUCCAAAUGUUUAUGCAUCUGAAGGUGUUAAGGAUGCUUGUCAAUACGCAUAUAAAUACGCCCCUGAAGAUGCUACACUAGAAGAUGAUUACUUUCUAUCAUGUUUGCCUAUCAUCAGUUUGCGAUUAGCUCAAGGAGGAGUUCGAUUGGCGGCAACCCUCAAUCGUAUUUUUCAGUGAUGCAAUGAAACAACAUUUUCUAUUGUAAUCUUUUGAAUGCAUGGUUUUAUAGCUUAAUAGAAUUGGAAGUUUGACGACACUUUGAUGGGCUUUAUGUAGUUGGUUUGUGUGUUUUGCAACAUCACUUUGUUUGCUAUUAUGCUUGAAGUUAAAGCUUGUUCAUGCGAAGGUGUAACUGAAUUUGC